This 494-nucleotide ribosomal RNA is filed under the name uncultured bacterium. RNAcentral's name for it is "partial 16S ribosomal RNA". It matches the Rfam family "Bacterial small subunit ribosomal RNA", at positions 28 to 507 of the family's 1533-position model. The record is from RNAcentral.
GACGAACGCUGGCGGCGUGCUUAACACAUGCCAGUCGAACGGAAAGGCCUGCUUUCCCUUGUGGAUUGCGGGUACUCGAGUGGCGAACGGGUGAGUAACACGUGAGUGAUCUGCCCCCAACUUGGGUAUAAGCCUGGGAAACUGGGUCUAAUUCCCGAUAGGACUGCAGGGUGGUGCCUGUGGUGGAAAACGAUUUUCUAGUGGUUGGGGAUGAGCUCGCGGCCUAUCAGCUUGUUGGUGGGGUAAUGGCCUACCAAGGCGGCGACGGGUAGCCGGCCUGAGAGGGUGGACGGCCACAUUGGGACUGAGAUGCGGCCCAGACUCCUACGGGAGGCAGCAGUGGGGAAUAUUGCACAAUGGGCGGAAGCCUGAUGCAGCGACGCCGCGUGGGGGAUGACGGCCUUCGGGUUGUAAACUCCUUUCGACCGCGAGGAAGCCACCUGGUUGGAAGGGUGGUGACGGUAGUGGUAGAAGAAGCACCGGCUAACUACGUG